RNAcentral lists this ribosomal RNA (1638 nucleotides) under Yarrowia sp. NYNU 14423. RNAcentral describes it as "SSU rRNA". It matches the Rfam family "Eukaryotic small subunit ribosomal RNA". Lineage: Eukaryota; Fungi; Ascomycota; Dipodascomycetes; Dipodascales. The record is from RNAcentral.
AAAGAUUAAGCCAUGCAUGUCUAAGUAUAAGCAAUAAUACAGUGAAACUGCGAAUGGCUCAUUAAAUCAGUUAUCGUUUAUUUGAUAUUACAUUACUACUUGGAUAACCGUGGUAAUUCUAGAGCUAAUACAUGCACAAUUCCCGACCUCUGGAAGGGAAGUAUUUAUUAGAUAAAAAACCAACAUUUCAGGUGAUUCAUAAUAACUUGUCGAAUCGCAAGGCCUUGCGCUGGCGAUGGUUCAUUCAAAUUUCUGCCCUAUCAACUUUCGAUGGUAGGAUAGUGGCCUACCAUGGUUACAACGGGUAACGGGGAAUAAGGGUUCGAUUCCGGAGAGGAAGCCUGAGAAACGGCUACCACAUCCAAGGAAGGCAGCAGGCGCGCAAAUUACCCAAUCCUGAUACAGGGAGGUAGUGACAAUAUAUAACGAUCCAGGGCCUUUUAGGUCUUGGAAUUGGAAUGAGUACAAUUUAAAUACCUUAACGAGGAACAAUUGGAGGGCAAGUCUGGUGCCAGCAGCCGCGGUAAUUCCAGCUCCAAUAGCGUAUAUUAAAGUUGUUGCAGUUAAAAAGCUCGUAGUUGAAGUUCAAGGGUACUUUAUUGGACCCUGGGGUUCGCCCCGUUACUUUGAGAAAAUUAGAGUGUUCAAAGCAGGCGAUUGCUCGAAUAUAUUAGCAUGGAAUAACAGAAUAGGACGAAGGUUUUAUUUUGUUGGUUUCUAAAGCCAUCGUAAUGAUUAAUAGGGACAGUCGGGGGUGUCAGUAUUCAAUUGUCAGAGGUGAAAUUCUUGGAUUUAUUGAAGACUAACUGCUGCGAAAGCGUUCAUCAAGGAUGUUUUCAUUAAUCAAGAACGAAAGUUAGGGGAUCAAAGAUGAUUAGAUACCGUCGUAGUCUUAACCGUAAACUAUGCCGACUGGGGAUGGGAUUUUAUGAAAAUUAUUAUUCCGCACCCUGUGAGAAAUCAUAAGUUUUUGGGUUCUGGGGGGAGUAUGGUCGCAAGGCUGAAACUUAAAGGAAUUGACGGAAGGGCACCACCAGGAGUGGAGCCUGCGGCUUAAUUUGACUCAACACGGGGAAACUCACCAGGUCCAGACACAGUAAGGAUUGACAGAUUGAGAGCUCUUUCUUGAUUUUGUGGGUGGUGGUGCAUGGCCGUUCUUAGUUGGUGGAGUGAUUUGUCUGCUUAAUUGCGAUAACGAACGAGACCUUAACCGUUAAAUAGUGAAGGUUGCGUCAGCAGCCGGAACUUCUUAGCGGGACUGUCGACGUAAGUCGAAGGAAGUUUGAGGCAAUAACAGGUCUGUGAUGCCCUUAGACGUUCUGGGCCGCACGCGCGCUACACUGACGGAGCCAACGAGUCUUAACCAAGUUCGAGAGGACUAGGUAAUCUUGUUAAACUCCGUCGUGCUGGGGAUUGAGCAUUGCAAUUAUUGCUCAUGAACGAGGAAUUCCUAGUAAGCGCAAGUCAUCAGCUUGCGUUGAUUACGUCCCUGCCCUUUGUACACACCGCCCGUCGCUACUACCGAUUGAAUGGCUUAGUGAGGUAUUGGGAGGGAUGAGAUUUGGGGGUGACUCCAGAUUUCGUCCCCAACUUUAUCAAACUUGGUCAUUUAGAGGAAGUAAAAGUCGUAACAAGGUU